Molecule: ribosomal RNA, 1380 nt
Filed under: Triticum aestivum (bread wheat)
Lineage: Eukaryota; Viridiplantae; Streptophyta; Magnoliopsida; Poales; Poaceae
Description: partial small subunit ribosomal RNA
Source: RNAcentral
AUGCUGGACAUGGAGGAGUCCACGCAGCCCAAGCCCGCCGACCCCUCCGAGCCGGAGCUCCCCAACGGCGCCGCGGACCAGGACGAGCCGGAGCUGGCGUCGCCCGCUGCCGCGGAGGCGCCGGCGGCAGAGGAGGUGGCGGCUGUGGAGGAGGUCCCGGCGAGAUCGGAGCCGCCCAAGGGCGCGGGGACGAACGCGGACGGCUGGCGCCCCUACACCAUGGGGGAGCUGCUCGGGGAGGCCGCCGCCGCCGGGAGAUCCGACUUCGCCGCCGACGGGAAUGGGGCCGGAUCCGCCACCCCCGAGCGCUCCAGCCAGGACAGCCUGCAACUCUCAACCCAUCAUGAUGUUGCCAUGGACUUGAUAAAUAGUGUCACUGGAGUUGAUGAGGAAGGUCGCUCUCGCCAACGUAUUCUUACCUUUGCAGCGAAAAGAUAUAUUAGCGCCAUUGAAAGAAAUCCAGAAGACCCUGAUGCAUAUUAUAACUGGGCCCUAGUUCUCCAGGAAAGUGCAGACAACGUGGAUCCUAAUUCUGAUUCUUCGAAAGAUUCAUUGCUUGAGGAGGCUUGCAAGAAGUAUGCUGAAGCUACACGACUUUGCCCAACACUGUAUGAUGCAUAUUACAACUGGGCUAUUGCUAUAGCUGAUCGGGCCAAAAUGCGUGGGCGUACCAAAGAGGCUGAAGAACUCUGGCAGCAGGCUAUAAGGAACUAUGACAAGGCAGUCCAGUUAAGUUGGAACAGCCCCCAGGCUCUCAACAACUGGGGCCUUGGACUACAGGAAUUGAGUGCGAUUGUUCCUGCUAAAGACAAGCAAACAAUCAUAAAAACAGCUAUAAAGGAUACCUUGAGGUCUGGAGGGGCCGAUACCUCUCCUAAUGACCUGUAUAGUCAGUCUGCUAUUUACGUUGCAGCUGCUCAUGCAUUGAAGCCAAAUUAUUCGGUUUAUCGCAGUGCUCUACGGUUGGUCCGCUCAAUGCUACCUUUGCCAUAUUUAAAAGUGGGAUAUUUGACUGCUCCUCCGGCAGACGACCCCAUUGCACCACACAAACAUUGGGAGAGGUCGCAGUUCAUCUUAAACCAUACGGAACUCCAGCAGGUCAAUGAUUCCGAAAGUGCACCUGUCAAAGCAAACGCCCUCGUGGAGAAAGCCAAAAGGUUUAUCAAGGUAGACGUCGCGGACAUAGUUUCAGUGUCCACGUGCUCCGAUCUGACCCUGCCCCCUGGCGCCGGCCUUUGUAUAAACACAACGUAUGGGCCUGUGUUCUUGGUUGCUGAUACCUGGGAGUCUCUCGACGGCUGGCUAGACGCGAUAUGCCUGGUGUACACCAUAUUCGCAAGAGGGAAGACCGAUGUCCUGGCGGGCAUCAUCACCGGCUGA